AUUGAACGCUAGCGGGAUGCUUUACACAUGCAAGUCGAAAGAGUGGCGGACGGGUGAGUAAUAUAUCGGAACGUGCCCAGGAGCGGGGGAUAACUAAUCGAAAGAGAGGCUAAUACCGCAUACUCUAGGAGCGGCCGAUAUCGGAUUAGCUAGUGGGUGGGGUAAAGGUGCACCAAGGCAACGAUCCGUAGCUGGUGUGAGAGGACGACCAUCCACACGGGGACUGAGACACGGCCCAGACUCCUACGGGAGGCAGCAGUGGGGAAUUUUGGACAAUGGGGGAAACCCUGAUCCAGCCAUCCCGCGUGUAUGAGAAGGCCUUCGGGUUGUAAAGUACUUUUGGCAGAGAAGCGGUAUCUGCAGAAUAAGCCCCGGCUAACUACGUGCCAGCAGCCGCGGUAAUAC
Molecule: ribosomal RNA, 405 nt
Filed under: uncultured bacterium
Lineage: Bacteria
Description: partial 16S ribosomal RNA
Rfam family: Bacterial small subunit ribosomal RNA
Source: RNAcentral